RNAcentral lists this ribosomal RNA (253 nucleotides) under uncultured bacterium. Its description in RNAcentral is "partial 16S ribosomal RNA". It matches the Rfam family "Bacterial small subunit ribosomal RNA", at positions 524 to 776 of the family's 1533-position model. The record is from RNAcentral.
UACGUAGGGUGCGAGCGUUAAUCGGAAUUACUGGGCGUAAAGUGUGCGCAGGCGGCCGAGCAAGUCGAGUGUGAAAGCCCCGAGCUUAACUUGGGAACUGCGCUCGAAACUACUUGGCUAGAGUGUGGCAGAGGGAGGUGGAAUUCCACGUGUAGCGGUGAAAUGCGUAGAGAUGUGGAGGAACACCGAUGGCGAAGGCAGCCUCCUGGGCCAACACCGACGCUCAUGCACGAAAGCGUGAGGAGCAAACAGG